Ziziphus jujuba (common jujube) is the source of this 1700-nucleotide RNA transcript. RefSeq lists it as uncharacterized. The transcript has a single exon. Lineage: Eukaryota; Viridiplantae; Streptophyta; Magnoliopsida; Rosales; Rhamnaceae. The record is from RefSeq and is a predicted model, not a curated record.
AACAUACUUCAAUCAUAUAAACUUGACACGACAUAUAAUUGACAACUUGUCGACUACAAUUCAAUGCAAUAUUCAUUAAUGUCUACCACUACAUAUUUUAAUAAUUAAAUAAAUAAAUAAAAUAAGCCAGCAUAUAUCUUGGUUUCAUCACAUAAACGACGAACAAGCUUCAAUAUGUCACCACCGAUACAUAUCCUCUCGACCACCACCAUUCGACCCAGAAAAAAUCAUCAUGAAAAUGGGUCACUUGAAAAAAUCGAGUUAACUCCAUGGGAUUUGCAAUUCCUCUUUGUAGAACCUCUCCAAAGAGGUCUUCUCUUCAACAAAUCCAGCUUUCAAAUAUCCGAGACCAACACUAAUUUGAUACAACACCUUAAAGCCACCCUCUCCUCCACAUUGGAUACUUUUUAUCCCUUUGCUGGUCGUCUUGCCCGGACUGUAAACCACGAUAGUACCUCCUCUUUUUCCCUUUGUUGCAAUGAUGAAGGAGUCCAAUUUGUUCACGCAGUUGCUGAUGGCGUCUCGGUGGCUGAUAUACUUAACCCCCUCAAUGUUCCUGACCAUAUCCUUCAUUCUUUCUUUCCAUUGAGUGAAAUCCCCAACUAUGAAGGAAUUUACAGACCAUUGCUUUCAGUGCAAGUAACUGAGUUACUCGACGGCAUCUUCAUCGCUUGCACCAUCAACCACUGUGUUUCAGAUGGCACACCAUUCUGGCAUUUCUUCAACACUUGGUCUCAAAUAUCAAGAGGCGGCCAUGGUGAUGGAGAUGAUGAUCAUCAAGCACCUCAAGUUUCAAAACCGCCUCCCAUUUUUGCCCGUCAGUAUCUCAACGGCAUCAUUCAACUCCCACUUCACAUUCCUUUUGAAAUCCCUCAGAGUACUUUUACUCCGCUGCCACCAAUAUUCCAACACAGUGUGUUUCAUUUUACCAAGCAAACCAUUUCACAACUCAAAGCCAAAGCCAACGCUGAGAUGGGGACCGAUAAGAUCUCGUCUCUUCAAGCACUAUUGGCUCAUUUUUGGUUAUGCGUUACUCAUAGUCGAAAUCUCAAGACGAAUCAAGAGGUUUCUUUAGGGAUUAUGAUAGGCAUGAGAAAUAGAAUGGAGCCCAAGUAUUUGGCAGAAGAGUACCUGGGAAAUAUGUGUCAGCCUGCGUUUGUACAGCACACUGCAGGCGAGCUCCUAAAGAAAGGAUUAGGGUGGGUGGCUUGGCAGAUAAACAAGCUAAUAGAUUCAUAUACAUCAGGAGAAGCAAGGAAGUUGUUGCAGGAUUGGGCAAAAAAUCCAAUAAUGUUCAAAGGUACGAAGAUCACAGAUAAUACAACGUUAUUUUUGGGUGGCUCGCAUAGAUACAACAUCUAUGGUAAUGAUUUCGGCUGGGGAAGACCAAUUGCAGUUAGAAGCUCGCAGGCAAACAUGAGGAAUGGAAAGAUGAAUGUGUUUGCUGGUGCUGAACAAGGAAGUACAGAUUUUGAAGCUUGGCUUUUGCCUGAAACAAUAUAGGCUAUGGUGAACGAGGCAGAGUUCAAAGCAGAGUUCAGGGACACUAUCACCGUCUAAAAGUUGUAUGGUCUUAUGCUAUUUUGCUUAAAGUUUUAACUAUUUUAUCUUUGGAAAAAUGGUCAUCUCUUUAGGGAUAUGGUUCACUCUUUGUUGGUUGAAAAUGAUAUUAAGAUUGAAUAAUAAAUUGUUUGGUAGCA